This is a non-coding RNA of Prunus mume (Japanese apricot), 1807 nucleotides long. The record is from RefSeq and is a predicted model, not a curated record. Lineage: Eukaryota; Viridiplantae; Streptophyta; Magnoliopsida; Rosales; Rosaceae.
GUCUCUCUCAAGCGCGGCAUCAGAAGCCUCCUCCCUGAAGCUCUUUCUCUCCAGUGGCUCUAAACUUCUCUCACGUCUUUCGUCUUCUUCUUCUUCACUCUCUCUGAAUCGCACAUUGCAAAUCUCCAGUCUCGAUUCGCUAUUCUCAACUCAAAGAUCCUAUAUGAUUUCUCAAAAUCGGAAUAGAAAUUUCAGUGGUAAUCUUCAUCUCUCUCCCCCUCUCUCUCUCUCUCUCUCUCUCUCUCUCUUUCUUCUUUGCUUCUUCUCCUAUUUCAUCUGUGCUCUGUGUGUUUGGUUGUCGAGAAACCGUGCAAAAAUGUGAAAGAAUUUCAUCAACUCAUAUACCGAGGCCGCUGGAGCCAUCAUCGAUAUCAGCUUCCAUACCCCAUUUCUUAAGGAUCAUUCUAGAUAAGACUUCUAAAAAAUACCAGAAUUAAAAUUCCAAUGAAGUUUUUGAUGAGAUAUGGAGAGAAUUUAUCAAGUCCAGUACAUCUUAAGCUUCCAAGUGGUGCAGAAAUGGAAAUAGAACUCAAAAGAUCCAACGAUGGUUGGGUUUGGUUUGACAACGGUUGGCUCGAGUUCUCAAAGUUGUGCUCUCUUGACUAUGAAAUUGAUAUCCUAAGCCCGAGAUGGAAGAAACUGAUUCUGAUUCUGAAGAAGAUGAUGAUGAUGAUGAGUCAGGCCAUGCCAGAGGAGAAAUCAAAAGAGAGAAUGAUAUGCCAACAAAGAAAGAUUUUGGAGGCUCAUCGAGCACUCGAAUAUUCAUUAAACGAACACCUGAUGUCCUUGGGAGGGCGCAUCCAUUGACUAAAAGUGAAAAAGCUCUGGCUCUUCAGAGAGCUAAUGCUUUCGAAUCUGAAUAUCCUUAUUUCUUGGUUGCCAUUCAACCGGUUUAUAUCCACCGAGGCUACCUGCAUUUGCCAUCCGAGUUUGCAAGGAGACAUCUUGUCAAGCGGCGUGCACGUAACAUAAUCCUUAAGAUUUUAGAUGGAAGAACUUGGCUUGUCGAAUUCAAGUAUGAAACUUCAGUAGCUCGAUUCCAGCGUGCCUGGUUGGCGUUUGCAAGGGACAAUAAUUUGAAAGUCGGUGAUGUGUGUGUUUUUGUGUUGAUUGACUGCAAUGAACGUUUAUUUGAUGUUUUUUUUUAUCACACCAACAACGCUGAAGAUUGUCCCAUGUCACCAGUCCAUGGCGGAGGAGCAAUUGAUUGAGUUGAGAAAAGGAGAAACCCCAUAAUUAAAGUUGAAACUGAUUGCACCACAAAUUAUGAAAAUGGCAAGUACAAAAGGUUGAAGACUGGUGGGCAGGUUACUCAAAGGCCUUUAAAUUCAUCUUCAAGGUCUCUUGAAGCUGCUAACAGGUUCACCCCAAAGAAUCCAUCCUUCAGAGUCACUCUGGGGUCAGCACGCCUGAUAUUGCAUGUACCAGUUACAUUUGCCCUUUGUUUCGUCAAAAAGAGGAAGCAAACCGUGACUCUUCAGGUCAGAGAGAGAUCGUGGCCUGUGAAUUUGAUUGGUCAUACUAAAGAAUCAGGAGCUAAACUUUGUGGUGGCUGGCGUGAAUUUGUGACGGAAAAUUGUUUGAUAGAAGGAGGUGUUUGUAAAUUUGAGCUCAUUGAGAGAAAUGACAUUGUACUGAAAGUUCACAUUUUCAGAUGUUGAUUAGGCAAAGUUAUGUCAUUUAAAGAGGGAUGCAGAGAGCUCAAUUAUCACAUUUUGCUAUGUACAAUGGACCACUAUUUGCUGUAGUUAAAGACGAUAUCUUGAUACUGGGAGAUCACUUUGUAAUUUUAAUGGUGUUAGUUGUU